GCUUAGAGUUUGAUCCUGGCUCAGGAUGAACGCUGGCGGCGUGCCUAACACAUGCAAGUCGAGGGAGAAGCUACCUUCGGGUAGUGGAAACCGGAGCACGGGUGAGUAACACGUACCUAUCUGCCCCAUAGAGAGGGAUAACAGUUGGAAACAGCUGCUAAUACCUCAUACCCUCGUAAGAGGAAAGCUCCGGCGCUUUGGGAUGAGGCUGCGGACCAUCAGCUAGAUGGUGGGGUAAAGGCCUACCAUGGCAACGACGGUUAGGGGACCUGAGAGGGUGACCCCCCACACUGGGACUGAGACACGCCCCAGACUCCUACGGGAGGCAGCAGUGAGGAAUAUUGCACAAUGGGCGCAAGCCUGAUGCAGCGACGCCGCGUGGGUGAUGAAGGUUUUCGGAUCGUAAAGCCCUUUUCUGCGUGACGAGAGUGGACGGUAGCGCAGGAAUAAGUCUCGGCUAACUACGUGCCAGCAGCCGCGGUAAAACGUAGGAGGCAAGCGUUAUCCGGAGUUACUGGCCGUAAAGCGCGUGCAGGUGGGUUAUUAAGUCACUUAUAACAGCUCUCGGCUAAUCUGUUAGAGGCUGAGUGACACUGGUAGCCUAGAGUAGAGGAGAGGUAGACGGAAUUCCGC
This 633-nucleotide ribosomal RNA is filed under the name uncultured bacterium. RNAcentral describes it as "bacterial SSU rRNA". It matches the Rfam family "Bacterial small subunit ribosomal RNA", at positions 1 to 672 of the family's 1533-position model. The record is from RNAcentral.